This 433-nucleotide ribosomal RNA is filed under the name uncultured bacterium. RNAcentral's name for it is "partial 16S ribosomal RNA". It matches the Rfam family "Bacterial small subunit ribosomal RNA", at positions 29 to 507 of the family's 1533-position model. The record is from RNAcentral.
AACGAACGCUGGCGGCAUGCCUAACACAUGCAAGUCGAACGAGACCUUCGGGUCUAGUGGCGCACGGGUGCGUAACGCGUGGGAACCUGCCCUUAGGUUCGGAAUAACUCCCCGAAAGGGGUGCUAAUACCGGAUAAUGUCUUCGGACCAAAGAUUUAUUGCCUUUGGAUGGGCCCGCGUUGGAUUAGCUAGUUGGUAGGGUAAAAGCCUACCAAGGCGACGAUCCAUAGCUGGUAUGUGAGGAUGAUCAGCCACACUGGGACUGGGACACGGCCCAGACUCUUACGGGAGGCAGCAGUGGGGGAUAGUGGACAAUGGGGGAAGGCCUGAUCCAGCAAUGCCGCGUGAGUGAUGUAGGCCGUAGGGUUGUAAAGCUCUUUUACCCGGGAUGAUAAUGACAGUACCGGGAGAAUAAGCUCCGGCUAACUCCGUG